AUCUUUGAUUGUGAAUCGCAUUCCAAAUUCACUUGAUUGUGAUNUNGUCCAGAGAGGGUNUUAGACCCGUUGGAAUGUGUGAAACUGUUNAUGAUACUUCCUAUGAGUCGGAUUGNUUGAGANNGCAGUCCAAAUUGGGUGGUNAACUUCAUCUAAGGCUAAAUACUUGUGCUAGUCCGAUAGAAAACAAGUACCGUGAGGGAAAGNUGAAAAGAACUUUGAAGAGAGAGUUAAAUAGUACGUGAAAUCGCUUAGAGGUAAACGAGUGGAGCCGAAAAUGUAGUGUGGGAUUCAGUUGUUUGNGUUGNGUGUGUUAACAGUCGAUAUNUUUAAUCAUGGGANUCACUGUUAUCUUAUUUAUCAAAAUGCACACGAUGCACUUUCCAUKCAACAAAGCUGCGAUCGAUAGCGUUSAUUNUCKCKCRUANUAAUGANGGUNAUCAUUUUNUCGGAAAUGGUUUUAUAGCUUUCUACACGGUCAAUCAAUUUAUCGGUGAAUACGAUUGGUCAUUGUUACUGAUGNUNGAUNUCAGUUGUUUGAUNGUAAACUUUNNNAUGAGAUUACUUUUAAAUAANNUGAUGUKGGUAUUGGUAAUGGAUUAAUCAAAAUCUGCAGUGUAUAUGUAGGUUACCUACUCGUCCCGUCUUGAAACACGGACCAAGGAGUUUUAUAUGAUCGCGAGUCAAAGAGCUUUACGAAACUCCACGGCGCAAGUAACUUAAAGGUUUACGUUAGUAAGCUGAAAUGUGACCUCAUUGAAUCCGUUCAAUAGAGAGCAACAUUGACCUGUCUAAAGAAUUUCGAUUCUGGGCGGAGUUUGAGCGAUCAUGUAGAGACCCGAAAGAUGGUGAACUAUGCUUGUGCAGGUUGAAGUCAGGGGAAACUCUGAUGGAGGACCGAAGCGGUUCUGACGUGCAAAUCGAUCGUCGGACAUGAGUAUAGGGGCGAAAGACUAAUCGAACCAUGUAGUAGCUGGUUCCCUCCGAAGUUUCCCUCAGGAUAGCUGGCGUGUGAGUUGUAGUUUNACCUGGUAAAGCGAAUGAUUAGAAGUAUGGGGGACGAAAUGUUUUCAACUUAUUCUCAAACUUUAAAUAGGUUCGAAGUAUUACUCGCUUAAUUGGAGUAAUACAUGGAAUACAAAUGCCUAGUGGGCCAUUUUUGGUAAGCAGAACUGGCGAUGUGGGAUGAACCAAACAUCUGGUUAAGGCGCCUAACAUCACGCUCAUGAGAUACCACAAAAGGUGUUGGUUGAUAAAGACAGCAGGACGGUGGACAUGGAAGUCGUCAUCCGCUAAGGAGCGUGUAACAACUCACCUCCCGAAUCAACCAGCCCUGAAAAUGGAUGGCGCUGUAGCGUGGGACGUAUACCGGAUCAGUAUCGCAAGUCCUUAAUGGAUACGCGUAAGCGGUACUGUGUAGGAGGGUGCCGUGGUUGCUGAGAAGCUACUGGCGUAAGGCAGAGUGGAGCGGCCACGGGUACAGAUCUUGGUAG
Molecule: ribosomal RNA, 1493 nt
Filed under: Microplana fuscomaculosa
Lineage: Eukaryota; Metazoa; Platyhelminthes; Tricladida; Geoplanidae
Description: partial 28S ribosomal RNA
Rfam family: Eukaryotic large subunit ribosomal RNA
Source: RNAcentral